Molecule: microRNA, 17 nt
Filed under: Corchorus capsularis
Lineage: Eukaryota; Viridiplantae; Streptophyta; Magnoliopsida; Malvales; Malvaceae
Description: sRNA CCACVL1_17889
Source: RNAcentral
AGAAAGAAGAAAUAUUA